Molecule: long non-coding RNA, 1347 nt
Organism: Equus caballus (horse)
Lineage: Eukaryota; Metazoa; Chordata; Mammalia; Perissodactyla; Equidae
Source: Ensembl
GUGGGCAUCUGCAGGGCAAAUACAGCAGGUUUCUCCAGGCCUUUCUGGGAGCUAAUGAGAGGAAGGGGUCUGGUGCAAAGCCUCCCUGAUAUUUCUAUUUUCCCUGUAAGUAGCAACUGGAAUUUGCACCAUCCACGUCAGAUGGAAAAUAGAAGCCUGGAAAAGCUGACACUCUCAUUGAUUUGCUCUCUUUGCCAUCGCUGCUUGCAAGAGGAAGAGAUGUGACUUUAAAAUUGCAAUUAGGAACCAGCCUGCUAAGGGUUCCUUGCUGAGCUCCCGCACGCUGUGCUCGUCACAGGCCCCCUCUGCUCAGUUCCUGAGGAGACCACUCACCUAUCAAGUGCUUCAUAGCCACACAGGUGGCCAGUAGCUACCGUAUCAGACAGCGCAGGCCUAGAGCAAAGAAUCGGCUAGAGAUAUUUGCCACUGCUGGUAGAAUCCAAAAUCCAGCUACCUUGUCCUGCUUCCCUCAACCUCCUUACUGGCCUUUGUACUGAGAGUGGAUCGGGUGGUCAGGUGUAAUAUGACUUCUGUACCUGGGCAUUUUCACUUCUUGCUCUCAUUCCUGCCCCCUGAUAACAAAUCAGAGCAUCGCCUCCACCACAGUUUAUUUUGGACUCAUGCAUUCCGAAACGUUUAUAGGGUACUUCCUAGAUGCUAUGCCCUGUGCCUGACCCUAGGGAUACAGGUGAACAGCCUUUCCUUGUGAAUUAAUUACAGAACUUGUCAGUGUUCUUAGGAUCUAGUGGGGAGACAGACUUUAAUGAAAUAAUUGCACAAGUGUGUAAUUUCAAACUCUGAUAAGUGCUAUGAAGGAAAUGUACAUGCAAAAAAUGCCAACCCGUGGGUCACGGCUCAAGUGGCUUAUCCCUGGAGGAGUUUAAUAGAGGUUGUUCAGUCCCUGGCCGGGAUGUCUUAGUGAGCAUUGAUGCGAUAGACAAGAAUUGGAUGAGAAGAUCUCAAGCCCCCUUCCAGUCCCAGCAUCCGUAAGCUACAUUUGGAGUUUCUAGGAUGGACAGCAUCUCACCCGUUCUUAUGCCAGUGAUCCAGUUCAUCUAGUUUGUUCACUCUCUCCAAAUAUACUUGAGGCCAGCUGGAACACCAACAGUAAUGAGGAAGCGAAGACAACUCAUGCAUUCAUUUAUGCAUGCAUGCAUCAAUUCUCAUCGAGUAAUCUGUGGGAUGUCAAGCACUGCUCUGGACACUGAGAAAACCAAGACCAGCAUUCUCUUCGGCCAGACCACACUGCCAACUGGGCACACUUCCCCAGAGAAGAUAACAAUUUAAAGAAGGGGAAAAAUCACUGCUAACAGUACUCCUUUUCUGGUUCCUAAAGUGAUAUGGUCC